ACGAACGCUGGCGGCGUGCUUAACACAUGCAAGCCGAACGGUGAAGCGCCUUCCUUUUUGGUGGGUGUGGAUGAGUGGCGAACGGGUGAGUAACACGUGAGUAACCUGCCCCCUUCUUCUGGAUAACCGCAUGAAAGUGUGGCUAAUACGGGAUAUUCUGGGUCUGUCGCAUGAUGGGUCUGGGAAAGAUAUUGUUUCGGUGGGGGAUGGGCUCGCGGCCUAUCAGCUUGUUGGUGGGGUGAUGGCCUACCAAGGCGGUGACGGGUAGCCGGCCUGAGAGGGUGGACGGUCACACUGGGACUGAGACACGGCCCAGACUCCUACGGGAGGCAGCAGUGGGGAAUAUUGCACAAUGGGCGCAAGCCUGAUGCAGCGACGCCGCGUGAGGGAUGGAGGCCUUCGGGUUGUGAACCUCUUUCGCCAGUGAAGCAGGCCUGCCUCGUUUGUGGGUGGGUUGACGGUAGCUGGAUAAGAAGCGCCGGCUAACUACGUG
Molecule: ribosomal RNA, 493 nt
Filed under: uncultured bacterium
Lineage: Bacteria
Description: partial 16S ribosomal RNA
Rfam family: Bacterial small subunit ribosomal RNA
Source: RNAcentral